Long non-coding RNA from Magnolia sinica, 1307 nucleotides. RefSeq lists it as uncharacterized. The record is from RefSeq and is a predicted model, not a curated record. The transcript is spliced from 3 exons. Lineage: Eukaryota; Viridiplantae; Streptophyta; Magnoliopsida; Magnoliales; Magnoliaceae.
GAUGUAUCCUAGAAUGAGAAUGAAAUCGAGUAUGCAUCAGCUGGUGCACAUUCACUAGAUUGGAGCUAUUUGGUGCAUGUGGAAAAAUAUUAAUAGUUGGAUGUGCAAAUGCUUUUGUUUGCAAAAUGUGCCACAAAAAUGAGAAUAGGAUGAUAAUGGUCUGGAAUUGUUAUUGUCUCAAUCACAUUCACCAUCUGUCUCUGUAAAUAUGGCUACAGUUUAUGAUCUGCAAAAGGCAAACUUGCACAUCUCUUACUCGGGUGUGAUAUUGUUUAUAAUUGCAAUGUUGAGGCCUAACUAUGCGUUGAAACAUUUCUAAUACAUACGGAGGGAUUUUUUUUAUCUCUAUGCACUAUUGUGACUCUUAUGUUCUGCGACUUACAGAGAUUCAAAAUACUCACUACCACUACACCAAAAUUACCACUUCCCUACUUAGCAUAUAUGGCUUUUUGAAUAACAACAAAAUAUUACAUUGUAGGUGGGAGUCUAUCCUUAAUUGGACAUUCAGGUGGAGGAUGGCUUGCAUGUGUCUACAUGGAAGAAUUUGGGUUGUCUCAUAUUUCAUUGUUGUUGACUCUUGGAUCCCCUCACUUGUAUGAUUUUAUUACUGAACCACAUCCCAGUUGUUUGAGUUUGUCCAUGAUUGACAGGAUACAACUUUUGACCACAAAAAUUAAGAUUCCACACCCAGAAUUCAGUGACCAGUCGAUUAUAGAUUUCUAAAACUUGAACUUUGUUAUUGCCAUUGUAAAGUGCUCUGCUCAGGAGUUGAUGUUUCCCAUCCAUGGAUUAUUUUCCCCUCGAUUCUGCAGAUGUGCAACUUCUUUGCAUGCAUGGUUUUUAGUGUUGUAGACCUGCUCAAAGUGAUAGAGCAUUUCUUAUAUGAUGUUACAAGUUGAUUAAAUGUGUGAUUCCUGGAGGAGCAAUUAGGUUUUGUGCUUAAUGACUCAUUUUUCUAUUUAAAAUUCAAAUUUUGAACUACUUUCAACAUUCAAACAUAUUCAACUAUGAAAUUAUCAGUGGCAUCCCUGGGCAAUUUCAGUGGUAUUUCCUCAUAAAUACUUUGAUUGGAGAAUUGUGUUUUUCUUUCAGGCCACCUCCAAAAGGUUCAUCUGGAGUUAUUGAUCAAAGAAGGGGGCUCUUGGAUUAUGGUGUUACAUACUGUGCACAGGCUGUUUAUACACCAGAACUAAGAUACAUGUGUUGCAGGGAGGGCCUCGAAGGUGUCAUUAAGUAUCAAUGGAAUGCAUUGCAUGUUGAACAAUGAGAUGGAAUUAAAAAUUACACAUCGGAUAUUAUUGUACAGG